GCAAGUCGAACGGUAACAGGAAAUAGCUUGCUAUUUUGCUGACGAGUGGCGCACGGGUGCGUAACGCGUAUACAAUCUACCUUUUGCUGAGGGAUAGCCCAGAGAAAUUUGGAUUAAUACCUCAUGGUAUUAUUGAUAGGCAUCUAUUAAUAAUUAAAGGUUACGGCAAAAGAUGAGUAUGCGUCCCAUUAGCUAGUUGGUGAAGUAACGGUUCACCAAGGCAACGAUGGGUAGGGGUCCUGAGAGGGGAGAU
Molecule: ribosomal RNA, 253 nt
Filed under: uncultured bacterium
Lineage: Bacteria
Description: partial 16S ribosomal RNA
Rfam family: Bacterial small subunit ribosomal RNA
Source: RNAcentral